AUUGAACGCUGGCGGCAGGCCUAACACAUGCAAGUCGAACGAGUGGCGGACGGGUGAGUAAUGUCUGGGAAACUGCCUGAUGGAGGGGGCUAACUACUGGAAACGGUGGCUAAUACCGCAUACGAUGGUAUGUGCCCACAUGGGAUUAGCGAGUCGGUGGGGUAACGGCUCACCUAGGCGACGAUGCUUAGCUGGUCUGAGAGGCUGACCAGCCACACUGGAACUGAGACAAGGCCCAGACUCCUACGGGAGGCAGCAGUGGGGAAUAUUGCACAAUGGGCGAAAGCCUGAUGCAGCCAUGCCGCGUGUAUGAAGAAGGCCUUCGGGUUGUAAAGUACUGUCAGCGGGGAGGCGUUACCCGAAGAAGAAGCACCGGCUAACUCCGUGCCAGCAGCCGCGGUAAUAC
RNAcentral lists this ribosomal RNA (406 nucleotides) under uncultured bacterium. Its description in RNAcentral is "partial 16S ribosomal RNA". It matches the Rfam family "Bacterial small subunit ribosomal RNA", at positions 30 to 526 of the family's 1533-position model. The record is from RNAcentral.